GGGAGACCAGGGCUGGGGCCAAGAGGAGAGACCAGGGCUGGAGCCAAGAGGAGAGACCAGGGCUGGGGCCAAGAGGAGAGACCAGGGCUGGGGCCAAGAGGAGAGACCAGUGCUGGGGCCAAGAGGAGAGACCAGGGCUGGGGCCAAGAGGAGAGAGAGAGACCAGGGCUGGGGCCAAGCGGAGAGACCGAGACCAGGGCUGGGGCCAAGCGGAGAGACCAGGGCUGGGGCCAAGAGGAGAGGCUGGGGCCAAGAGGAGAGACCAGGGCUGGGGCCAAGAGGAGAGACCAGGGCUGGGGCCAAGAGGAGAGACCAGGGCUGGGGCCAAGAGGAGAGACCAGGGCUGGGGCCUAGAGGAGAGAGAGAGAGACCAGGGUUGGGGCCAAGAGGAGAGACCAGGGCUUGGGCCAAGAGGAGAGAGAGAGACACCAGGGCUGGGGCUAAGAGGAGAGACCAGGGCUGGGGCUACCAACCGU
Oncorhynchus tshawytscha (Chinook salmon) is the source of this 476-nucleotide long non-coding RNA. Lineage: Eukaryota; Metazoa; Chordata; Actinopteri; Salmoniformes; Salmonidae. The record is from Ensembl.